AUGCUACCUUUGAGGCCCCUCCAGUGCCUCUUCAUGGAGCCAGGGCUUAAGCUGCAGUGCCAUAUCACUUUGCUCGCCCAUAGCUGGGGCUGCCUGCCCAUCGUGGGUGGCCCUUUUAACCGCCAGCUAUGGGG
Small nucleolar RNA from Nannospalax galili (Upper Galilee mountains blind mole rat), 134 nucleotides. Lineage: Eukaryota; Metazoa; Chordata; Mammalia; Rodentia; Spalacidae. The record is from Ensembl.